RNAcentral lists this ribosomal RNA (253 nucleotides) under uncultured bacterium. RNAcentral describes it as "partial 16S ribosomal RNA". It matches the Rfam family "Bacterial small subunit ribosomal RNA", at positions 524 to 776 of the family's 1533-position model. The record is from RNAcentral.
UACAGAGGUAGCUAGCGUUGUUCGGAAUUACUGGGCGUAAAGCGCGCGUAGGCGGCCAUAUAAGUCAGGUGUGAAAUCCCGGGGCGUAACCUCGGAACUGCAUUUGAAACUGUAUGGCUAGAGAUUGGUAGGGGAUAGCAGAAUUCCUAGUGGAGAGGUGAAAUUCGUAGAUAUUAGGAGGAACACCGGUGGCGAAAGCGGCUAUCUGGACCAAUACUGACGCUUUGGCGCGAAAGCGUGGGGAGCAAACAGG